Molecule: ribosomal RNA, 301 nt
Filed under: uncultured bacterium
Lineage: Bacteria
Description: partial 16S ribosomal RNA
Rfam family: Bacterial small subunit ribosomal RNA
Source: RNAcentral
CAGUAGCCGCGGUAAUACGAAGGGGGCUAGCGUUGUUCGGAAUCACUGGGCGUAAAGGGUGCGUAGGCGGAUUCUUAAGUCAGGGGUGAAAUCCUGGAGCUCAACUCCAGAACUGCCUUUGAUACUGAGGAUCUUGAGUUCGGGAGAGGUGAGUGGAACUGCGAGUGUAGAGGUGAAAUUCGUAGAUAUUCGCAAGAACACCAGUGGCGAAGGCGGCUCACUGGCCCGAUACUGACGCUGAGGCACGAAAGCGUGGGGAGCAAAUGGGAUUAGAUACCCCCGUAGUCCCUGUCUCUUAUAC